RNAcentral lists this ribosomal RNA (505 nucleotides) under uncultured bacterium. Its description in RNAcentral is "partial 16S ribosomal RNA". It matches the Rfam family "Bacterial small subunit ribosomal RNA", at positions 29 to 507 of the family's 1533-position model. The record is from RNAcentral.
ACGAACGCUGGCGGCGUGCUUAACACCUGCCAGUCGCACGGUGAAGGGACUGGUUUUGCUGGUCCUGGAUGAGUGGCGAACGGGUGAGUAACACGUGAGUAACCUGCCCCCUUCUUCUGGAUAACCGCAUGAAAGUGUGGCUAAUACGGGAUAUUCUGGGUCUGUCGCAUGGUGGGCCUGGGAAAGAUUGCGCCUUUUUUGGUGUUUUUGGUGGGGGAUGGGCUCGCGGCCUAUCAGCUUGUUGGUGGGGUGAUGGCCUACCAAGGCGGUGACGGGUAGCCGGCCUGAGAGGGUGGACGGUCACACUGGGACUGAGACACGGCCCAGACUCCGACGGGAGGCAGCAGUGGGGAAUAUUGCACAAGGGGCGCAAGCCGGAUGCAGCGACGCCGCGUGAGGGAUGGAGGCCUUCGGGUUGUGAACCUCUUUCGCCAGUGAAGCAGGCCUGCCUCUUUUUGUGGGUGGGUUGACGGUAGCUGGAUAAGAAGCGCCGGCUAACUACGUG